GACCCAGUAGCUCAGUUGGUAGAGCGCGUGAACGCCUGCGCCGAUAGCGGGAGUAACGUCAUAGAGGUCGAGAGUUCAAAUCUCUCCUGGGUCU
Molecule: transfer RNA, 94 nt
Filed under: Pseudomonas phage PaBG
Lineage: Duplodnaviria; Heunggongvirae; Uroviricota; Caudoviricetes
Rfam family: tRNA
About the family: Transfer RNA (tRNA) molecules are approximately 80 nucleotides in length. Their secondary structure includes four short double-helical elements and three loops (D, anti-codon, and T loops).
Source: Rfam by way of RNAcentral